GGAGAGGUGGCCGAGUGGUCGAAGGCGGCAGACUCGAAAUCUGUUGAACCUCUAAAGGGUUCCGUGGGUUCGACUCCCACCCUCUCCG
RNAcentral lists this transfer RNA (88 nucleotides) under Deltaproteobacteria bacterium. RNAcentral's name for it is "tRNA-Ser". It matches the Rfam family "tRNA". From Rfam's summary of the family: Transfer RNA (tRNA) molecules are approximately 80 nucleotides in length. Lineage: Bacteria; Pseudomonadati; Myxococcota; Myxococcia. The record is from RNAcentral.